This 287-nucleotide ribosomal RNA is filed under the name uncultured bacterium. RNAcentral describes it as "partial 16S ribosomal RNA". It matches the Rfam family "Bacterial small subunit ribosomal RNA", at positions 773 to 1060 of the family's 1533-position model. The record is from RNAcentral.
GUGGAUUAGAUACCCUGGUAGUCCACGCUGUAAACGUUGGGCGCUAGGUGUGGGGGGCCUCUCCGGUUCUCUGUGCCGCAGCUAACGCAUUAAGCGCCCCGCCUGGGGAGUACGGCCGCAAGGCUAAAACUCAAAGGAAUUGACGGGGGCCCGCACAAGCGGCGGAGCAUGCGGAUUAAUUCGAUGCAACGCGAAGAACCUUACCUGGGUUUGACAUGGCCGCAAAACUGUCAGAGAUGGCAGGUCCUUCGGGGGCGGUCACAGGUGGUGCACGGCCGUCGACAACU